RNAcentral lists this ribosomal RNA (4101 nucleotides) under Triticum aestivum (bread wheat). RNAcentral describes it as "partial small subunit ribosomal RNA". Lineage: Eukaryota; Viridiplantae; Streptophyta; Magnoliopsida; Poales; Poaceae. The record is from RNAcentral.
AUGGAGGCCGCUAUCGGUGCGGCGAACUGGCUUGUCGGCAAGGUGCUGACUAAGCUCUCUGAUGAGUUGGUGGCCGCGUACGUGGCCAGCUCUGAGCUCGGCCUCAACUCCGAGCAGAUCAAAACCAAGCUCAAGUACAUGCAAGGGUUGCUGCACGCAGCGCAGGACACGGAUGUGAGCAGCAACCCUGGCUUGCAGAGCUUGCUGGAGGACCUGAGCAAGAAGGCCGAUGAGGCUGAAGACGCCCUGGACGAGCUCCACUACUUCAUGAUCCAGGACCAGUUGGACGGCACCCAGGAGGCCGCCCCUGAGCUGGGUGAUGGUCUUCGUGGUCAUGCUCUCCAUGGUCGCCAUGCUGCUCGCCAUACCAUCGGUAACUGGCUUCCAUGCUUUUCUUGCUCGCGUACUCAAGCCGAAGUUCCUUCUGCUGCUGCUGUCAUCAGUAACCCAGACAAAGCAACCAAGUCUGGUAGUGGCCAUGAUGGCGGCCAUGUUGAUAAGUUGUUUUUUGAUAGAGUAGCCAUGUCCAACAAAAUCAAGUCAGUAAUGGAGGAAAUGAACUCCAUAUGUGGACCUGUGUCUAACUUGCUCAAAAUUGAAAACCAUAGUAGCACCGCAGCAAGCACAACUGGCACCCUAAAAAGGCCUCCCACAGGUUCAGUAGUUUCACAAGAUAAAUUAUACGGAAGGAGAGCCAUCUUUGAGCAAACUGUAAGUGCGCUCACUGGUAGCACAUAUCUUGAUGAAACCCUUUCUAUUCUGCCUUUUGUCGGCCCUGGGGGUAUGGGAAAGACAACCUUCACCCAACACUUGUAUAAUGAUAAAAGGGUUGAGGAGCAGUUCACUGUCAGGGUCUGGGUGUGUGUCUCAACUGAUUUUGAUGUGCUCAACCUCACCCGACAGAUCCUUAGAUGCAUACCUGCAAUUGAAAAAGAAGAACACAAGUGUACUGUCGAGACUGCCAAUUUAGAUCAGCUUCAAAAAUCCAUUGCCGAGCGACUGAAGUCCAAAAGGUUUUUAAUUGUCUUGGAUGAUAUAUGGAAAUUCAGUAGUGAAGCCGAUUGGAAGAACAUAUUAGCUCCAUUCAAAAAGGGGGAAACCAAGGGUAGCAUGGUUCUCGUCACAACUCGGUUUCCAUCUAUAGCUCAAUUGGUGAAAACAACGGAUCCAGUAGAACUGCAUGGUUUGGAGCCUAAUGACUUCUUGAAAUUCUUUGAAACAUGUAUAUUUGGACAUAGCAAACCUGAGCAUUAUGAAGAUGACUUAAUUGAUAUUGCAAGAGAUAUUGCAAAGAAACUAAAGGGUUCACCACUAGCAGCCAAUACGGUUGGUCGAUUGUUGAGGAAAAACCUUUCUCGGGAAUAUUGGAUAGGAGUUCUUGAAAGGAAUGAGUGGAAAAAUGCAAAAAACAAUGAUGAUAUUAUGCCUUCGCUGAAAAUCAGCUAUGAUUACCUUCCUUUCCUUCUAAAAAAAUGUUUUUCGUAUUGUGCCCUCUUCCCUGAAGAUUAUAGGUUCUAUAAUUUGGAAAUUACUAGCUUUUGGAGCGCAAUAGGUAUCUUAGACUCUAGUUGCCAAGACAAUAAUAAGUACUUAGAAGAACUAGUGGACAAUGGUUUUCUCAUAAAGGGAGUUGAUAGGUCUGGUAAUCAAUACUAUGUGAUGCAUGAUUUAUUGCAUGAACUAUCCCGGAGUGUUUCAUCACAAGAAUGUGUGAAUAUAAGCAGUUUAAGUUUUAGUUCUGAUGAUAUCCCACGAUCUGUUAAACACCUGUCGAUCACCACGAAGAAUAUAUAUGAUGAAUGUUUUGGGGAGGAGAUAGGUAAACUGAAGCGCAUGAUAGACGUUGCAAGUUUGCGUUCUUUGAUGAUUUUUGGAUUACAUGGUGCAACAAUGGCUAAUAUUUUAAAAGAUACAUUUGAAGAAAUAAAGGGUCUCCGGGUUCUAAUUAUAGCAAUGAACACUCCCAAAUUUUUGCCAAGCUAUUUUUCAAACCUUUUCCACCUCCAAUUCCUUAAAAUUAGAUCACCCAGUCACUUAAAAGAAAUGACUUUACCUAGCACAUUGUCUAGAUUUUACCACCUGAAAUUCCUGGACCUGAAUGGCUGGAGUGGUAGUAACAAGUUGCCUAAAGACAUUAGCCGCCUUGUGAAUUUACGACAUUUUCUUUCUUCCAAAGAACUCCAUUCCCAUAUUCCUGAGGUUGGAAAGAUGAAGUGUUUACAUGAGCUAAAAGAGUUCAAUGUUAAGAAAGAGGGUGUUGGAUUUGAACUGAAAGAGCUGGGGGAGUUGAGAGAGCUUGAGGGUAAACUCACUAUAUGUAAUCUUGAAACUGUGGCAUCCAAGGGAGAAGCUAGUGAAGCCAGACUGAGGAACAAAAGAAAUCUGAAAGAGUUGAGAUUAGUAUGGGGUACAAAGCACCAGACUGUGAAUGAUGAUGUUCUUGAUGGUCUUCAACCACACCCUAAUCUGAGGGUGCUUGGCAUUAUAAAUCCUGGUGCUGUUCCUUGUCCUCGAUGGUUGUGUGGUGAUAUUAGCACAGAAAGGUUGGAGUCUCUUCAUCUGGAGGGUCUUUCAUGGUGUCCUCUUCCAGCUUUUGAGCAGCUGAGACACCUCGGCAGUCUCACUUUCAAAAAUAUUGUUGGGAUGAGUGUGUUCGGGCCUGGCUUUAGUGGUGUUACAGAAAGAAGCUUCAUGCACCUGAAGACACUUGAGUUUACGAAUAUGCCAAAACUUGUGGAGUGGGUCGGGGAACCUAAUAGCCACUUGUUUUCAAGGCUUGAAAGGAUCAAGCUUGGAGGUUGUCCCCUUCUCACGCGGUUUCCCUUCUUGGAGUGCCCUGACUGUUUUACUAACCUGUAUAGUUUUUGCAUUUUUAACUGCCCUGAACUUUCUCACUUUCCUCCGAUGCCUCACAACAACACACUGAGAGAUAUCUCUGUGAGCAAUGCUAGCUCAGGGUUGUUGUAUACAGGAAAGGAAUUAGCUAUCCGAGGGUAUGCCGGUGCUUUGUCCUUCCACAAUAUGGAUAAAGUAGAGGUUAUGAAAAUUAUGGGUGUGUCACAUAUUUUGUUUUCAGACCUCCAAAAUCUGAAUUCGUUGAGAAGUAUACAUUUAGAGAAAUGCGACGACAUAUUUUCUGCAGAAUUGGAUGACAGUGUUGUCCUCCAUUCAGUUCAGAAUCUUGACAUAGAUGAAUUAUGUAUUACUGGAGAAAUGUUUUCAAAGGUGUUGAAGUGUUUCCCAGCUCUUUCCAAACUUCGCAUCUUAAGUUGUAGGAGCCUUGAACUUUUGAGAAUGGAGGAUGGAGGACUCGCGGACCUCAGAAUGCUCCAAUCAUUUGAAGGAAACAGUUGUGGGAAGUUGUUCUCUCGAUUGCCCAAAGGAGAAGUAGGUGGAGGAGCUCAUGCCAUCAAGCCUUUCCCUGCUUCUCUUACGGAACUUAAUAUUUUCGUAGAGGCAAGCAUGCAAUCAAUGGGUUUGCUCUCAAACCUCACGUCUCUCACCAGUCUGGGCUUGGAAAAUUGUAGAAAAUUGACGAUGGAUGGGUUCAAUCCGCACAUCACAGUCAACCUCAAGACGUUGGAUGUAUGUGCUAUGAAUGAUGAACAGGAGAACAUGACUAUAGCAGGGGAUUUGCUGUCAGAGAUUGCAAGGAGCAAGUUAAUGCAUGUGGGUUCAUUCCAGCUGGAAAAAUUUGUGGUGGAUUGUAUCUCGGCAGUGCUUACUGGUCCCAUCUGUAGCCACCUUGCCGCUACCCUCCACACAUUGGUGUUCAGUCAUGAUCAGGGGGCGACAACCUUCACGGAAGAGCAAGAGAAAGCACUUCAGCUUCUCACCUCCCUCAAACAUCUUGAAUUUCGAGUUUGCAAAAAUCUGCAGUCCCUCCCUCAAGUGUUACGUCUCCUUUCUUAUCUAAAGACACUAGUGAUCCACGGUUGUAGGAAAAUCCAAUGCCUGCCGCCCAAGGAGGGCCUUCCCGCUUCACUGGAAAAGCUAGAAGUAAACUUGUGCAGUCCUGAGGUAACUGAGCAAGCCAAGAAAUUGAAAGAAAGGGACCUGUGGUUUUCUGUAAAAAUAUUGGUGUACCCGAGGCCGAGGUAA